UGCCCAUAGCGGCAUUCUUUUUAUCUUUUAUAAAAUUCAUCAUUUCAUGGCUUCUUGACUUUAAGUUGAGAUUUUACCCGAACCCAUUUCGAAUUCGAUUUGUUACCCCAUGGAAAAUCAUAUGUACUUUAUUUUUAGGGAGACAUGAUUACGCUCUAUUU
RNAcentral lists this ribosomal RNA (161 nucleotides) under Scherffelia dubia. The record is from RNAcentral. Lineage: Eukaryota; Viridiplantae; Chlorophyta; Chlorodendrophyceae; Chlorodendrales; Chlorodendraceae.